CAUGUGGUUAGACAUGGGAGGAGGGAGGACAGAAGCAUGACUCUUAGGACUUCUCUGGAGAGGCUGGGAAAUCACCAUGGCCACGUCCUGGAGGCUGGGAAUGAGGACUAGGUAAGGCUGGAAGCCACUGUCCUCAUGACCAGAUCUCAAGAAGAAGCACAAAGCCAGAUCACCUGGGAAGAUAUCUCCCCCCCUAGCUUGCUUAGCAGGAAGUUGAUGCUCAGGCAACAAAACAGUAUUUGCAUCCAUUUAUUUAAGCAUGAAAAGAACCGAAUGAGAAAGACAUCAUCUCCAUCACCCCAACUUACAGAUGUAGAAAUGGCAUCACAAAGGAUGCUUGCAGCUAAUGGCGCUAGGAUUUCCUUGGAGCUGAACUCUGACUUCCCAGUUCCUGACUCAACACAUGCUAAUCUGAUACUUCUUGGCAUGACUCAACUUCCCCAUUAUUGCUUUUCUUUCUCCUCUAUCUCACUGUGAUGUGGAAACAAGAGCAAAAGACAGCCAAAGGGAGGCAGAAAGCCGGGAGAGUGAGUACAAGGCCCAAGGAGAUGAGGGGCAGGUGACAGUGGGUAGACUUCUGAGGCUCUGAGCCCAAAUCGACCCUUUUCUUUCUGCUGGCACUGCAACAGAAAGCUGACUGGUGGAUGCUGGGAUAGUUGUUGCUGUCCCAUUCAGUACAGAAGAAGAUAGCAUCAUCGCCAGCUGGAGAGAGGUUCCCCCCGCUGCCUCCGAAGUAGGCUGCCAUGUGGUCGAGUGCCUAGGACCCAGAGAAGACAUCUGGGAGCCGAGGCUGACCCAGGUUGUCAACAGCAAGAAGCCUGGCAGCUCAAGCUCUGAGGAACAACUGCAAGGAACUGAAUUUUGCCACUAUGUGAGUUUGGAAAAGAACUCUGAGCGUGACAAGAAACUGCAGCUUCUGCCAGGUCCUUAAUUUCAGUGCAGAGGGCUCAGCCAGCUUGCAUCGGGACUCCUGACCCGUGCUCAUGGGAUAGAGUAAACAUGUGUUGCUUACAUCGCUGUGUCUGUGGCCAUUUGUUACACAGCAAAAGAAAACUAAUGGAGGGUAAUUGGAAGAGUCACGUAGCUCUUCUGACACCCCCGUUUUCUUGUUCUCUCUCUCUCUCUUUUUUAAAAGUUGAUUUAUAAAACGAGUGUUCCAACUGGAUUUAUUGAGAUAACCUAUCUGAAGGAGUUUUAUAAAUUGUCAACUCAUUAACACCGCUGAGGAAGGUUUAUUAACAAUAUACAGUAGCACAAUAAAUUAACAAUGAGAAGGAGAACAGGCAGCUAAAGCUUUUGUCUUUUUUAAAAAGCAUAUC
Molecule: long non-coding RNA, 1319 nt
Organism: Rattus rattus (black rat)
Lineage: Eukaryota; Metazoa; Chordata; Mammalia; Rodentia; Muridae
Exons: 5
Source: RefSeq, a predicted model, not a curated record